CCUCGAUAUCUAAAUCCGGCCCUGUCGCUAAGCCACGUGUGUAUAUAGCUAGCCGACCUCUCACAGCUGCCACCUGUCAGGAUUACUCAACAAAACAAUUUCUCUGUCAACUCAGUUUCUCUCUAGCUUUCCUUCAAACCAAACAAAGAAAAACGAACAGUGUAACCUUAGUUAUCUCAAAAUGGCCUCAACAAACAAAAUUGUUUUGAUCUCUGUUAUCUCAUUUUGGCUCAUUUUUUCGUUUCAGCUAGCCGGCUGUUCUCGACCCGGUACGUAUUUUCUUCUUUUGUUUUUUGGUUAAUUCUUUUUCUUUCAAUUUAUUUUUAUUUUUUUCUUACUGGAUUCAUUUACUUACGCUCUCUAUUCAGAUUUCGGUGUCGGAGGGGACAUAAGCAUUGGUGCACAAGCACAGGUAACCCAACGCAACGGCACCGUUUGCUUUUAUUGUUUUUGUUUGUAACGUAUUGCGAACGAGUAACGAAUCCCGAAUGAAUCGGCAGCGGCGCAUGUUGUUAAGCUAAAUUAUUAUAAUCUCUCUUCUUCAUUUUUAUUUUCACAUUAUUUAUCCAUUUCUUCAUUCUUUUCUUCUUCAUUUAUGAACUUUUACCCAUCACUAUUUUAUCCUAAACUCUUAAACUUCUUAUUUUUUUUAUUUUUAGUGGCUGUUUUC
This 670-nucleotide long non-coding RNA is filed under the name Citrus sinensis (sweet orange). RNAcentral's name for it is "long non-coding RNA (CSIN_LNC005218)". The record is from RNAcentral. Lineage: Eukaryota; Viridiplantae; Streptophyta; Magnoliopsida; Sapindales; Rutaceae.